RNAcentral lists this ribosomal RNA (307 nucleotides) under uncultured soil bacterium. RNAcentral's name for it is "bacterial SSU rRNA". It matches the Rfam family "Bacterial small subunit ribosomal RNA", at positions 26 to 363 of the family's 1533-position model. The record is from RNAcentral.
AGAACGAACGCUGGCGGCAUGCCUAAUACAUGCAAGUCGAACGAACACUUCGGUGUUAGUGGCGCACGGGUGCGUAACGCGUGGGAAUCUGCCCUUGGGUUCGGAAUAACAGUUGGAAACGACUGCUAAUACCGGAUGAUAUCGAAAGAUCAAAGAUUUAUCGCCCAGGGAUGAGCCCGCGUAGGAUUAGCUAGUUGGUGAGGUAAAGGCUCACCAAGGCGACGAUCCGUAACUGGUCUGAGAGGAUGAUCAGUCACACUGAACUGAGAUACGGUCCAGACUCCUACGGAGGCAGCAGUGGGGAAUA